UACGUAGGUGGCAAGCGUUAUCCGGAUUUAUUGGGCGUAAAGGGAGCGCAGGCGGUGCGCCAAGUCUGAUGUGAAACCCCGGGGCUCAACCCCGGGCAUGCAUUGGAAACUGGCGGGCUGGAGUGCCGGAGAGGUAAGCGGAAUUCCUAGUGUAGCGGUGAAAUGCGUAGAUAUUAGGAGGAACACCAGUGGCGAAGGCGGCUUACUGGACGGCAACUGACGCUGAGGCUCGAAAGCGUGGGGAGCAAACAGG
Molecule: ribosomal RNA, 253 nt
Filed under: uncultured bacterium
Lineage: Bacteria
Description: partial 16S ribosomal RNA
Rfam family: Bacterial small subunit ribosomal RNA
Source: RNAcentral